Helianthus annuus (common sunflower) is the source of this 663-nucleotide long non-coding RNA. RefSeq lists it as uncharacterized. The record is from RefSeq and is a predicted model, not a curated record. Lineage: Eukaryota; Viridiplantae; Streptophyta; Magnoliopsida; Asterales; Asteraceae. The transcript has 3 exons.
UUACUUUAGCACUUCUUCUUCUUCUUCUUCAUGAUUUCUUCUAAAACCCUAAUUUCAGACAUUUCAUACAUGGUGAUAUGCAGAUGUGCGAAUCCUGGAAGACGAUUCCCGAUUAGGGUAAGUUUUUCUAAAGUGCAAGAAAGGUUAUUAUUUGUUGCUGGCAAAGGUCCGUUCUCUCUUUCACGAUCAAAACUCCAUUUCCUUUAUAAUUUCUACAUAAUUUAACUUAAUUAGUGGACUCACGCGUGUUAGAUCGAACCAUAGAUUUCAAUGUCGAUUUCACGCACAGGCUAAGUGCUGCUAUGAUGAUUCAUUCUUUUGGAUCAACCUCCUCAGAAUUUGAAUAAUAUAGAUGGAAUCGAGUUAGGCACACCAAGUGUUCAACGAAAUCACCCUCGCUUUUGUACAGGGAAAUGAAUGUAAGUAUUGCCAUAGUGAUAUCACGCAGGUUAACCAUAGGAUUGCUGGUAGUGGUAAAAGGAAAUUGUUUGAAUCCAAAAUGUGCUUUCUGUCAUCCUGUAAGUUUCUAUAGUUGAAGAACAAAAGUCUACACAAGAUGGCAUUUGGGCACUGCUGGUGAAGUUUAAGAACUUGGGUUUGUAAUGUUGUAUAAAAUCUAAGGACUUGAUAUGAUCUCUCUAAUAGAUAUAACACAAGAGUUGA